UUGGAGGGCAAGUCUGGUGCCAGCAGCCGCGGUAAUUCCAGCUCCAAUAGCGUAUAUUAAAGUUGUUGCAGUUAAAAAGCUCGUAGUUGAAUUUCGGGGUCAGUAGGUUGGUCAUGCCACUGGUAUGUACUGGUCUCACUGAUUCCUCCUUCCUGAUGAGCUGUAAUGCCAUUAAUUUGGUGUUGCGGGGAAUCUGGACUGUUACUUUGAAAAAUUAGAGUGUUUAAAGCAAGCUAACGCUUGAAUACAUUAGCAUGGAAUAAUGAAAUAGGACGUUCGAUCCUAUUUUGUGGUUUCUAGGAUUGACGUAAUGAUUAAUAGGGAUAGUUGGGGGCAUUAGUAUUCAAUUGUCAGAGGUGAAAUUCUUGGAUUUAUUGAAGACUAACUACUGCGAAAGCAUUUGCCAAGGAUGUUUUCAUUAAUCAAGAACGAAAGUUAGGGGAUCGAAGACGAUCAGAUACCGUCGUAGUCUUAACCAUAAACUAUGCCGACUAGGGAUCGGAUGAUGUAAUUUUUAAUG
This 520-nucleotide ribosomal RNA is filed under the name uncultured Glomeromycotina. RNAcentral describes it as "SSU rRNA". It matches the Rfam family "Eukaryotic small subunit ribosomal RNA", at positions 548 to 1074 of the family's 1831-position model. The record is from RNAcentral. Lineage: Eukaryota; Fungi; Glomeromycota.